GAGUUUUUGUAGAUUUUCAAAUAAAACUCAGAGAUUCCUUGUAUGACUCUCUCAGAUCUCUCUUUGGUGGUAUUUUUGGAUCCUUACCAAGGCAGUGAUGGUAUAUGCCUUCUCUCAAAAUAUGUGGUAUUUGUGGUAUAAGGCAUAGUGACAUUGCCUUCUCUCUCAUCCUACUCUAAUAAAGCUUUUGAUAUCUGGAGCUCAUAGGUGGGAGAUAAAGUAUACAUACUUACAAAACAUUUAUUGCAUAGUCAAACCAUGGAUCUAGAGAAACAAGUCAAUAAGUCAAAUCAAGAUGUGCAUGUGUGGCGAAUGAAUGGUGUAUGGUGAUGAUGGUGAUAGCAAUGGUGAAAGUCCAAUUCUACUUUUGCUCUUUUCAAGGGAUACAUACCUUUCUUGCUAUUUUGAAACUUUUUGAGGAGAAUGAGAUGCUCUAUAUUUUCUUUUUCUUUCCUCUCAGGUGGGUAUCUUGUACCCCUAAUUCUACUGUCGGAUACUUGUCUAUUUUUACCUCUCGUCUCACUUUUUUUUCAUUUCUUUCGACGUUCCGGGCACUUGCCCCUUUUUAUUUCCUCGUAUCUUUUUCUCUUUUUUUUAGAAUACUCACCUCUUGAAAUAAUAUAGCAAGUGGUAGUGACCAAGAUAACUCGAGCAUUUAGUUCACAGGAAAAAACAAAAAUAGGAGAAUGUUUUUGGCUAUUCUCUCUUGGAUCAGGAGUAGUAUACUUUUGGGUGGCUUUGGAGAUGGAAAUGGGUGGAUAUAUGUGGAUAUGUACUUUUGGAGUAGAAGCAACAUGUGUGAAUGAACGUGCAAGUGAAUCUUGAUUUAACCACAUGACAAGCUCCUAAGGGUCUACACAGCUUGACCACACUCAAUGCUCAUAAGUAGUAAAAAGUAUAUGUGUGGCUCAAAGUCUAGCUAGCAUGUAUAUAUAUAGCUGUUGUAGGAAUUUAAACUCUCAUCAUACAGGAACUCAUCAUGUGAUAUUUUAAAGAUUUUCAAAGAUAAAAUUCUCCAGAAUUCUAGCAUCUCUAGGAACAGAUAAACAGCAGCUCAACCUUCUCAUAUCAAAUCCGUUAACAACUUAGACUUCAGAUCAAGUUCUCUUCCCACAAGUUCAGGUUUAGAGCAAGCUUUAAAUUAUAACAGUUAUGUCUAGACUAGAGAGAGAACUAAAAUUUGAAAAUUAGGCAGAGCAACUAUUCAUCAUAUCCAAGCUAGAGUUUUAUUAUUAAGAUUCAGUUGAGCAUAGCCACUUUAUUUAUUUAUUAAGCACACUAAGCAAAAGACAUAUAUAUAUAUAUAAGCACAAAAUCUUUAUUUGGUUUUCAUGGUUAUGUAUAUUUAUAUUUUAAUAUGGUAUAAGUAUAAAUGUAGAUAGAAAUACUUAGCGGGAUAAAUGGGGGUGCUCUCCCCCAAGCUGGAUUUUGACGUAAUUUCUUCUGAUGUAGCUAGCAGGUGGUGGAGGUGUAUUUGAAAGUCGGCAGCACCCUGACAGCGAUUAGAAUGUCCUCCGUCUGCUAGUCUUCUUGAUCCUUGAAUUCUGUGGAGCUCAAAUAGACAACAAAGCUUUGUGGAACUGAUUAGGUCUUAGCAUAAAUAUCUAGCCUUUAUCAUGUUGAGCCUCCUCAAUAAAUGUUACUCUCUUUGGUAGGAUCACAAUCUUAUUUUUUAUAUUUUCAUUUUAUAGAGUAGAAAAAUUAUUUAUUUUAUUUUUAUGCCACCACAGUGAAUGUACUUAUGGGUUUUAUGCCACCCGUAUACUCACAUGGGGCUUACUGGUUUUUUAACAUUUUUAUUUUCUUUUUAGGAUAGUAUGAACAUGAUUAACUAAGCAAACUAUUUGAAAGAAUUGAAAGGAAAAGGAUAACUACCAAGUUUACCUCUUGGCAAGGCGUUCGGUGUUUUUAAGUCCUCCGAACGGGACUCUCGGUUUUCUCAGUUGUCGUGGGAUUUGUUGGAUGGCGUAGUCGGUGCUUCCCACGGCGCCUCUUCUUCGUGUACAACUAUCUUUUCUCUCCACACCUGACUUGGUGCUACAGUCUCCUUAGGACAAUUAUUUUCAAGCUAUAUGUCUUCAAAGCUUUCCACUUCUCCUUCGUAGUCUGCCCAUCCGUCCUUGAUGAUUUGCCUCCUCUGGUUGCGGUUGCGUCGUCUUCCUCGUGUCCUGACCUACUUAGAGUCUUCAACUAUAUAGUUAGGGUCAGUAAAAUAGUGGCAUACCUUCUCAGAGGGGAAGUGCAUGUGGACUUCUCCGGUUCCAAUGUAGAUGAUUGCUUUAACGGUGCUGAGGAACGAUCUCCCAAGGAUGAUGGGUGGAUCGUACUCAUCUUCUCACAUGUCAAUAACCUUCAAGCCUCUUGGUAGUAGUCGUUCGUGAAAGCAUAAGAGGCGUCGGAGUACCGUCUUGCAUCGAAUUGGGGCUGGUGCCAAGACCUUGAGGCUCCAUAUGGAUCAGUGGGAUACCUGCCCGUACUAGAAGGUGGGUUUGUCCACUGGUGAUCUUGGCACUCCGGCCAUGUCUCCUGUUUUGGCUCCUGCGGCUGAGCAUGUCGAACCCAUGGGUCCCGAAGGACUCGAGGGUUGUAGUCGCGGUAAUUUAGGUACGUUGCUUCUUCCGGCCCGGGAUCAGCUCCAUACCAGGUGCGUUCUUUAUGGGUGGUCAUCCUUUCAGAUGUCACUCGCUUUGGAGCUCUCUGUUUCUUGUAGCAUGAUAGGAUCAAGAGUGGGGGUGUGAAUGAAAUCCUUGUUCUUUAGCUGCUGGAAAACAUCCUUCUCCCUGCGGGUCUUCAGUCCAAGGUCUCCUAUCUUGAGGAGGACCUUGUCUCGCGGAUCAGAUGAAGAUGACAGAGCUUGUGGGGGCGUCUGGUCAAUGUUUAUCUCUAACUGGUGCGAGGAGUGUCGGGAUGAGCUCCUUGUACUAAUGUUCUUGAGGGCCUUCCCCGCGUUCUUCACCUUCUUCAUCAUCCUGCCAACAAAAGUUGACACAAAUGCAACUAGUGGAAAAUGUGUG
RNAcentral lists this long non-coding RNA (3014 nucleotides) under Sorghum bicolor (sorghum). Its description in RNAcentral is "long non-coding RNA (SBIC_LNC008686)". Lineage: Eukaryota; Viridiplantae; Streptophyta; Magnoliopsida; Poales; Poaceae. The record is from RNAcentral.